RNAcentral lists this long non-coding RNA (763 nucleotides) under Prunus dulcis (almond). RNAcentral describes it as "sRNA ncRNA". Lineage: Eukaryota; Viridiplantae; Streptophyta; Magnoliopsida; Rosales; Rosaceae. The record is from RNAcentral.
AUUCAGUUGAGUAAAAUUAAACUCUCAAUAUAAGCAUCGACAUACCCACAAGGCUUCGUCAUUUUGAUUCCGGUGUUGGUGGUUUGGUCCGCCUCAGGAUCUAUAAAACCAAAUAUGGACCUUUCGAAUAAGUACCUGUCAUAACCAUAAGAAAUCUGCCAUUUCCCGAGAACGCUAGUGGACCUGGUAUACAUCCCCUUUCGGGGAGAAAAAUCUUGCAGGUCUUUUUCCAAGUAUCCAUUUCAAGAACCCAUACGUCAUAAAACCAACCCGGUUGCCCAUCUUGUCUUCGUCGAUGGAAGAAGGAAAGUGAUUUCUCAAACACUCGAAUAUGAAUGUGUCGGAAACUUGUGCGUACAUGAUGUAGCAUGAUCCUUACUUCAUGAGGUAGCAUGAUCCUUCUAAACUCCUCACUGCCAAAGAAUGAAGGCUUGUACUCCAAUACACAACUCCAUUCAAGAAUGCACAUUUGUCUUCGGAAACACCAACAUCAGGAGGAACUACACUAAUUUUUCUCCAAGAAUUCAGUCUAAGGCUGUAAACCUCAACCUCAAACUCUUUGCGUUCAAACCUCAUCACCCUCACAACCUUAUAGUCAUUUUUGCUACGAUGAAAUCCGAAGCCGAUAGCAACGACAUAGGUUGUGUCUUGAAUGAAGCCUAUGGGAAGUCUCUUGAUUUUUCUGAUGGAGGGAUUCCAUAGAUAUAUAGAAAUAAAAUCCGACAUGCAAAGCAAUCCAUUGCAAGAACCAAUAACGGCAUAA